Molecule: transfer RNA, 73 nt
Filed under: Paramuricea clavata
Lineage: Eukaryota; Metazoa; Cnidaria; Anthozoa; Malacalcyonacea; Plexauridae
Rfam family: tRNA
About the family: Transfer RNA (tRNA) molecules are approximately 80 nucleotides in length.
Source: Rfam by way of RNAcentral
GACCACGUAGCUCAGUUGGCAGAGCAUUGGACUAGUAUCCCAAAGGUCGCGGGUUCGACUCCCACCGUGACCA